UACAGAGGUCUCGAGCGUUAGGCGGAAUCACUGGGCUUAAAGCGUGUGUAGGUGGAUGCCUAAGUACCUUGUGAAAUCCCACGGCUUAACCGUGGAACUGCUUGGUAUACUGGGUGUCUUGAGUCACUCAGGGGCGAGCGGAACAAAUGGUGGAGCGGUGAAAUGCGUAGAUAUCAUUUGGAACGCCAAUGGUGAAAACAGGUAGCUGGGAGUGUGCUGACACUGAGACACGAAAGCCAGGGGAGCAAACGGG
Molecule: ribosomal RNA, 253 nt
Filed under: uncultured bacterium
Lineage: Bacteria
Description: partial 16S ribosomal RNA
Rfam family: Bacterial small subunit ribosomal RNA
Source: RNAcentral